GACGAACGCUGGCGGCGUGCUUAACACAUGCAAGUCGAACGUGAUUUUUGUGGAAAUUCUUUCGGGAAUGGAAAUGAAAUGAAAGUGGCGAACGGGUGAGUAACACGUGAGCAACCUACCUUACACAGGGGGAUAGCCGUUGGAAACGACGAUUAAUACCGCAUGAGACCACAGAAUCGCAUGAUAUAGGGGUCAAAGAUUUAUCGGUGUAAGAAGGGCUCGCGUCUGAUUAGCUAGUUGGAAGGGUAAAGGCCUACCAAGGCGACGAUCAGUAGCCGGUCUGAGAGGAUGAACGGCCACAUUGGAACUGAGACACGGUCCAAACUCCUACGGGAGGCAGCAGUGGGGAAUAUUGCACAAUGGGGGGAACCCUGAUGCAGCGACGCCGCGUGAGCGAAGAAGGUUUUCGAAUCGUAAAGCUCUGUCCUAUGAGAAGAUAAUGACGGUAUCAUAGGAGGAGGCCCCGGCUAAAUACGUG
This 478-nucleotide ribosomal RNA is filed under the name uncultured bacterium. RNAcentral's name for it is "partial 16S ribosomal RNA". It matches the Rfam family "Bacterial small subunit ribosomal RNA", at positions 28 to 507 of the family's 1533-position model. The record is from RNAcentral.